This 1310-nucleotide ribosomal RNA is filed under the name metagenome. Its description in RNAcentral is "bacterial LSU rRNA". It matches the Rfam family "Bacterial large subunit ribosomal RNA", at positions 1577 to 2875 of the family's 2925-position model. The record is from RNAcentral.
CCUUGAGACCGAAGUGAUUGAUACCCUGCUUCCAGGAAAAGCCACUAAGCUUCAGUCUAGGAUUGACCGUACCGCGAACCGACACAGGUGGGCAGGUAGAAGAUACUAAGGCGCUUGAGAGAACUCAGGAGAAGGAACUCGGCAAAUUGAUACCGUAACUUCGGGAGAAGGUAUGCCCCUGUAGCUUGUAGGAGAACAUCCGAAGGGCGACGGGGCCGCAGAGAAUCGGUGGCUGCGACUGUUUAUUAAAAACACAGCACUCUGCAAACACGAAAGUGGACGUAUAGGGUGUGACGCCUGCCCGGUGCCGGAAGGUUAAGUGAUGGGGUGCAAGCUCUUGAUCGAAGCCCCGGUAAACGGCGGCCGUAACUAUAACGGUCCUAAGGUAGCGAAAUUCCUUGUCGGGUAAGUUCCGACCUGCACGAAUGGCGUAACGAUGGCCACACUGUCUCCUCCUGAGACUCAGCGAAGUUGAAGUGUUUGUGAAGAUGCAAUCUCCCCGCGGCUAGACGGAAAGACCCCAUGAACCUUUACUGUAGCUUUGCAUUGGACUUUGACGGGACUUGUGUAGGAUAGGUGGGAGGCGAUGAGACCAGGACGCUAGUUCUGGUGGAGCCGUCCUUGAAAUACCACCCUGGUGUCGUUGAGGUUCUAACCUAGGUCCAUCAUCUGGAUCGGGGACCGUGCAUGGUAGGCAGUUUGACUGGGGCGGUCUCCUCCCAAAAGGUAACGGAGGAGUACGAAGGUCUUCUAGGUACGGUCGGACAUCGUACUGAUAGUGCAAUGGCAAAAGAAGGCUUGACUGCGAGACCGACAAGUCGAGCAGGUGCGAAAGCAGGUCAUAGUGAUCCGGUGGUUCUGUAUGAAAGGGCCAUCGCUCAACGGAUAAAAGGUACUCUGGGGAUAACAGGCUGAUUCCGCCCAAGAGUUCACAUCGACGGCGGAGUUUGGCACCUCGAUGUCGGCUCAUCACAUCCUGGGGCUGUAGCCGGUCCCAAGGGUAUGGCUGUUCGCCAUUUAAAGUGGUACGUGAGCUGGGUUUAAAACGUCGUGAGACAGUUUGGUCCCUAUCUGCCGUGGGCGCUGGAUAUUCGAGGGGGCCUGCUCCUAGUACGAGAGGACCGGAGUGGACGGAUCUCUGGUGUACCGGUUGUGACGCCGGUCGCAUCGCCGGGUAGCUAAAUCCGGAAGAGAUAACCGCUGAAAGCAUCUAAGCGGGAAACUCGCCUCAAGAUGAGAUAUCCCUGGGGGCUCGACCCCCCUGAAGGGUCGUCGAAGACCACGACGUUGAUAGGUCGGGUGUGGAAGCG